Musa acuminata AAA Group (dessert banana) is the source of this 3449-nucleotide long non-coding RNA. RefSeq lists it as uncharacterized. Lineage: Eukaryota; Viridiplantae; Streptophyta; Magnoliopsida; Zingiberales; Musaceae. The record is from RefSeq and is a predicted model, not a curated record. The transcript has 2 exons.
UCCAGUUUAUUUGAAACUCUUCCUUAUCAAAUUUGGUUCUCCUUAUUGGACAAAAAACAUCAAUAUCUUAUUGGACAAAAAACAUGGAUUUAUACUUCUGGGAAGAGUUUCAGAUAAACUGGAUAUCAAUGCACAUUUUCAUGAGAGAAACCAUCAGUACAUAUACUCUAUGAGAUCAAUGCCUGCCUCCUGCUUUGCAUAAGAUGCACCAAAACCAAAGGAGAUGAAAGCACAUACUAAGAUGAUGAGUAGGUGAAAAUAUAUCUUAAUUGUUUGUGCUGUAGAAGCAAAAAGUAAAUGUACAUUCUAGCGCAAAAUACCAUCCCAUUAGUGAUCUAACUGAGUCAUGAAAAUACUUAUUUGCAAAAGUAGGGCAUCAAAUAUUUUCUCUAUAUUGUACACUGGUGGGAGUCUUAUGCACUAGGCUAUCCUUUUCUAAAAUAUGAGAAUGAUAAGUGAAUUGUGCAUGACAAGCAUUUAAAGAUGUAGAGUGUCGGUUGGAUCUAAGUUGGAGAUUCAGUUGGCCAUAUAUCUUUGCUUUGUGGAUAGCAUUUUACAAAUAAGUUUAUGUUUUAAGACUGUUAACAAAUAGUGUUUUAAAACUCCUCAAAGUAACUGAACAAUUAUAAAUGAUAAAAAGACAAUACAAGGGAAAAUAGCAUGUAUUAGAAGAGCAUUAAGGUUGCAGCCUGAAUUUUAUCUGAAUUCUAUUUGAGACUUAAGACUUAAAGUUAUGAAACAUUUCAUAUAGCCUUAUGCACUAGUAUUUGUGGAGAAACUAUAUGCCUCAUAUACGUAAAUGUAAAUGUGUAUUAUGACCAUGAGGGUAGAGUGCCACAAACCUCCACAAUAACCAAUACAUCCAAAGGAUCAUUAUCUUCGCAAAGAGUGUGUGGGGUGAAACCAUUAGUUAUAAGGAUCAUUAACUUCCAACAGAAAGAACAAAGGAAACAAUAAGGUAAAAGUAGCACGCAUACCUUUAUCAACCCACUUUGUUUUUUUGGGUCAAAUUCACAUUUCAAUUUGCUUCCCCUUACCGGCUCCACCACCUGUAGAAAUUCAAUAUUUUUGUUUACUCUCAGUCAUGGCAUCCUGUUUUAAGUACAAAUACGAAGUAUCCUUUUCAUCCACAUAAAUAUAAAUUCGAAAGACCCUAUAAAAUGAAUUGAUCAAUUAAGAUAUUAUAAAUCGUCAAAGAACCCAACAAUUGAAUAUGUCAGCUAGGUUACACACAAUUACUUUAAUACCAAAACAACUUUACCAAGUUAAUGUUCUAGCACCACAUUGAAGUCCAUUUAUUAGUAUCAAACCCUGUGAUAGGACAGCUCAUUAUUGAAAAGUUUAGUGUACUUACACAGUUGAAUAUUAUUGGCCAGGGCCUGCGAGCAAAAUCCAAAGUCCAAUUAAGAAAGGAAUUAACAAAGAAAGAGAUGAACACGCUAUUACAUGAAAAUUUUUGUUAGGAGAUUGAGUACCUAUUUAAUGAUAAUGCCAAGGAUGUGCUGUAACAGACCUUGUAGGCAUGGAUGAAAGUAUUCUUUCUUUGAGCGGGGUGGAUCAGAAAUUUGCAUGUCAGAAUCCUUUGCUGGUACUUCAGGAGGUGAAGCCAUAAUGAGAAUCUGAUAAACAUACAAUGAAUUUUCAACAUAAAGAAUGUUCAUCAUCUCAUCCUAAAUAUAUAGUUUUUGGAACAUCGAAGAAUGUAGAAUUUACUAACCAUGAGUGAAAUGCAAAAAAAAAAAAUAUAUAUUAAAACAAAAACAUGCAAAAGAAAUGUACUUUGAGACUUUUGCCACCCUAGCUUAACCAUGGCUCAUCGUCAAACUAUAUCCAUAAUGUAUCACAGAAGACAAUAGUUUGUCAAUCAACAAGCUAAUUAAUCAACAUAGAAUUUGAGCCUCUUCUGCCCAGCUAUUAAUGUCUGAGGAUUUAUUUUCAGGUUGCACGUCAUGCACAUCAUUAAAGCCAUCAAUAAGAAUUAUUAUUACACAGAAAAUAAAGUAACCAUUAUUAUUAUUGUGCCUGUCAUUGCCCUCAUCCGCAUUAAAUUAGGCCCAAAGGUAUAAGUAGCCUGCCGGCAUCAUUUAUCCAUAUGCAAAGGGCAGAUAUAUGAUGUGUUCAUACCACACGAUGUGGGUUCAAAAUCUGCAAAGCCUAUGCAAAAUGCCAUUGUUGUCGGCAUAAAAAAAAAUUAACGAAAAUUAUUAGGUUUAUUUUCAUUGAUAUGAUUUGGUAGAUAGAGCUCUAUCAGAACAGAUUGGGCAGAUCAGUGACUUUCAAGGACAAUAUUAUAACAGGAAACAGCAACGCUAUCACAUCUCUAAGAUCUUAAAGCCAGUCAUGAGAUCCGAAGAAAUAAAGCAGCAAAACUUCAUCCAACUUUACUUUGUGCACAUGUGGAACAAAUGCGGGACAAACACAGCACAACUGACUUGGACUUAUGAUGACUUCUUAUACAAGCUAUUUUCCCUUGUAUUGUCUCUAUCAUUUAUAGUUGUUCAGUUACUUUGAGGAGUCUUAAAACACUAUUUGUUAACAAUCUUAAAACAUAAACUUAUUUGUAAAAUGUUAUCCACAAAGUAAAGAUAUAUGGCCAACUGAAUCUCCAACUUAGAUCCAGCCGACACUCUACAUCUUUAAAUGCUUCUCAUGCACAAUUCACUGAUCAUUCUCAUAUUUUAGAAAAGAAUAGCCUAGUGCAUAAGACUCCCACCAGUGUACAAUAUAGAGAAAAUAUUUGAUGUCCUACUUUUGCAAAUAAGUGUUUUCAUGACUCAGUUAGAUCAUUAAUAGGAUGGUAUUUUGCGCUAGAAUGUAUAUUUACUUUUGCUUCUACAGCACAAACAAUUAAGAUAUAUUUUCACCAUACUCAUCAUCUUAGUAUGUGCUUUCAUCUCCUUGUUUUGGCGCAUCUUAUGCAAAGCAGGAGACAGGCAUUGAUCUCAUUGAGUAUGUACUGAUGGUUUCUCUCAUGAAAAUGUGCAUUGAUGUUCAGUUUAUCUGAAACUCUUCUCAGAAGUAUAAAUCCAUGUUUUUUAUCCAAUAAGAUAUUGAUGUUUUUCACUUAUCAAAUUUGGUUCUCCUUGAACAUAGAAAAUCAGAUAAGGAAAAAGUAAAGAGGGAAUCUACCUGCCUGAAUCUUCAGCUCAGAAAGCAAUACAGCACUCCAUGGACAUUUAUGCUACUUUGUUGAAAACUGAGGCAGAAAGCAUUUUGAGUAGUGAUUGAUUGGUACUGCAGCAAUUGGUCUUCGUUUGUUCUCUUCUUUACAAAGUGAAAUUAUAUAUGUAGUAAGAUUUUUAAAUUCUGAAAAUUUUGCACGAUUUUCUCAAGUAGAUACAUAUACAGGAAAUUUUUAUGUUCUGAAGGAUCUCUUUUAUACAAAUAUCCCUUCAGAUAUACAUGCUAAUGGCAAAUAUUACAUAUCUCUUGGGCAGGAUAGCCAAUAA